Molecule: ribosomal RNA, 468 nt
Filed under: uncultured bacterium
Lineage: Bacteria
Description: partial 16S ribosomal RNA
Rfam family: Bacterial small subunit ribosomal RNA
Source: RNAcentral
GACGAACGCUGGCGGCGUGCUUAACACAUGCAAGUCGAACGGAAAGGCCCUGCUUUUGUGGGGUGCUCGAGUGGCGAACGGGUGAGUAACACGUGAGUAACCUGCCCUUGACUUUGGGAUAACUUCAGGAAACUGGGGCUAAUACCGGAUAGGAGCUCCUGCUGCAUGGUGGGGGUUGGAAAGUUUCGGCGGUUGGGGAUGGACUCGCGGCUUAUCAGCUUGUUGGUGGGGUAGUGGCUUACCAAGGCUUUGACGGGUAGCCGGCCUGAGAGGGUGACCGGCGACCUUGGGACUGAGAUACGGCCCAGACUCCUACGGGAGGCAGCAGUGGGGAAUAUUGCACAAUGGGCGGAAGCCUGAUGCAGCAACGCCGCGUGCGGGAUGACGGCCUUCGGGUUGUAAACCGCUUUCGCCUGUGACGAAGCGUGAGUGACGGUAAUGGGUAAAGAAGCACCGGCUAACUACGUG